Long non-coding RNA from Mirounga angustirostris (Northern elephant seal), 1146 nucleotides. RefSeq lists it as uncharacterized. Lineage: Eukaryota; Metazoa; Chordata; Mammalia; Carnivora; Phocidae. The record is from RefSeq and is a predicted model, not a curated record. The transcript is spliced from 5 exons.
CACACCGGCGCGCGCGCGCACACACACACAUAUCUGCACAUGAGCACACACACAACUCCACACACGGACGCGCGCGCUCUUCUUAAAGGAGACGGCUUGUGAAGGGGAACCGCUACUGUACCGCGCACUGGAAGUAACCAGACCUCCAGAAGGGCCCUGCGUUGGGACGAGGUCCUUGACACACCGCCCACCCCCUCUUCCCCGAGACUGGAACCCAGCAACCUGGGCGGCUCCAUCCUUUCAUCUCGCCCACCCCCUCCCGAGCGUCUAGAAACAACCAGCAGAGGGGAAGAGGAGCCCGCGGGAAAGAAAUGCAGGAGAGGUUGAGAAUAAAGGCUGCUCCAGGUGUGACAGCUACCUCGGUGAGGUGGAAGACGGAAUUGACAAGGCAAAUUUCAUGGACCUUAUAUCUGUGCUAGUCUAAUAAGCCUGACGAAACAGUUCCCCAUAUGGACUCAUCUGGGUACCUGUGGAUAUGUAAUCACUUUCCUUGUCAGGAACUUGUGAGAUUCAGUUGGUCAGUUGGACCCCUGGUUGUCACCAUGUCAUGUGGCCCAUGUCUCAGGAGGACUCACCUUAUAAGAUUGAAAUAGUUCUUCAGGUUGAAGAAGACAGAAGUGAAACAAAAUUUGAAUACUUCAUCUCUGUUGAUAGAUGACUUAAAUGAAAAUCACCCCUGAAGAGUAUGACUGUUUCCAUCUAUUGUAUUUUUCUUACUCUGAACAUAGCUUUAAAAAUCUCAAAUCAUAAUUUAAAAAAUCUCAAAUCUUUUUGUGUUUAAUAAAUGUAACUACAUUGUGAGCUUUGUUAUCAAGACAUCAUUAUUCCUUUUCAUUAUAUUUAAAAAAUAUUUGCUUGAUUAUAUGCUUAUAUGCUGAGCACAAUUGUAAAAAUAAUUACAAAUUCACAAAAUGUGUUGUUAAUGAAAUCACUACCUUAAAUCAGAAUUUACGAUCUAAAUUGUGUAAAAAAUGGUAGUUUUUAGCUAGUAAGAAGUAAAUUACUAUAAAGUGCCACCUUUGAAGGGAAAAGUACUGUUCCAUCCCUCCAAAACAGGGUUUCAAUAUGUAAUUUUGUGAAACAACUCUCCUCACUCCAUAUGGACCCUAUUAAGUCACUACUACAAUUAAAUAAAAGCAGAUGUUA